Molecule: ribosomal RNA, 1014 nt
Filed under: Triticum aestivum (bread wheat)
Lineage: Eukaryota; Viridiplantae; Streptophyta; Magnoliopsida; Poales; Poaceae
Description: partial small subunit ribosomal RNA
Source: RNAcentral
AUGCAGUUGGAGAUGGAUGCGGUCGAGCAAAACAGCACUUGGGAGCUCGCUGACCUCCCUCGUGGUCACCACGCAAUCACCCUUAAGUGGGUGUUCAAGCUGAAGAGGGAUGGAGCCGGCGCCAUCAUCAAGCACAAGGCUCGCCUGGUGGCCCGAGGCUUCUUGCAGCAGGAAGGAGUCGACUUCGACGACGCCUUCGCCCCCGUGGCACGGAUGGAGUCCGUGCGACUUCUCCUUGCGCUGGCUGCCCAGGAGGGCUGGCAUGUCCAUCACAUGGAUGUCAAGUCGGCAUUCCUCAACGGUGACUUGAAGGAGGAAGUCUACGUGCAUCAGCCACCGGGUUUUGCGAUUCCCGGCCAGGAGGGUAAGGUGCUCCACCUGCGCAAGGCCCUCUAUGGCCUACGGCAGGCACCUAGGGCGUGGAACGCCAAGCUGGACUCCACGCUAAAGAAGAUGGGCUUCGAGCAAAGCCCGCAUGAGGCUGCCGUCUACCGACGGGGCAGUGGAGGAAAUGCCUUGCUGGUGGGCGUCUAUGUUGACGACUUGGUGAUCACCGGCACCAAAGAUGCAGAAGUGGCGGCGUUCAAGGAAGACAUGAAGGCGACCUUCCACAUGAGUGAUCUGGGGCUCCUCUCCUUCUAUCUAGGGAUUGAGGUGCACCAGGACCACUCCGGGAUCGCGCUUCGACAGUCCUCCUACGCCAAGCGCAUCGUUGAGCUAGCUGGGCUCACCGACUGCCAUCCAGCUCUCACUCCAAUGGAGGAGAGGCUGAAACUGAGCCGUGACAGCACGACGAAGGAAGUGGAUGCUACGCAGUACCGACGCCUUGUGGGGAGCCUUCGCUACCUCACCCACACACAGCCGGACUUGGCAUUCUCCGUCGGCUAUGUCAGUCGGUUCAUGGAGCGACCGACCUGGCAAUCAGUCAAGCAGCAGGUGGUGGCCCUGUCCAGCUGUGAGGCUGAGUACAUCGCGGCCUCCACCGCCUGCACUCAGGCGCUCUGGCUCGCUUGA